CGGUGUAUGGAAGGGCUGUAAGGUGUACAUGUCCAACUGGCAGGUAUCAUCUGACCUUGACCUCCUUUUCAUGGUUUAGUGGUUAUAGUUACUUUUUUGUGUUUUGGUCGGUUUUUCUCAUACUUUAUGCAAUAGGGCAACUGUAUUUCAUGUAUGGAAAUAUUUUCUAAUCUAUUUGUUAGUCGCACAGGUUAGAUUUGACCUUGACCUCAUUUUCAAGGUUCAUUGCUCAGUGUUGAGUUUUUGUGUUUUGGUACGUAUUUCUUAAACUGUAAGCAAUAGGUCAGUUUGUGCACUCUUGUUGAUAGAAC
This 311-nucleotide long non-coding RNA is filed under the name Mytilus galloprovincialis (Mediterranean mussel). The record is from RNAcentral. Lineage: Eukaryota; Metazoa; Mollusca; Bivalvia; Mytilida; Mytilidae.